UGGGGAAUAUUGCACAAUGGGCGCAAGCCUGAUGCAGCCAUGCCGCGUGUAUGAAGAAGGCCUUCGGGUUGUAAAGUACUUUCAGCAGGGAGGAAGGUGUUGAGGUUAAUAACCUCAGCAAUUGACGUUACCCGCAGAAGAAGCACCGGCUAACUCCGUGCCAGCAGCCGCGGUAAUACGGAGGGUGCAAGCGUUAAUCGGAAUUACUGGGCGUAAAGCGCACGCAGGCGGUCUGUCAAGUCGGAUGUGAAAUCCCCGGGCUCAACCUGGGAACUGCAUUCGAAACUGGCAGGCUAGAGUCUUGUAGAGGGGGGUAGAAUUCCAGGUGUAGCGGUGAAAUGCGUAGAGAUCUGGAGGAAUACCGGUGGCGAAGGCGGCCCCCUGGACAAAGACUGACGCUCAGGUGCGAAAGCGUGGGGAGCAAACA
Molecule: ribosomal RNA, 427 nt
Filed under: uncultured bacterium
Lineage: Bacteria
Description: partial 16S ribosomal RNA
Rfam family: Bacterial small subunit ribosomal RNA
Source: RNAcentral